GUUGAGUGAGGGUCACUGUUGCUGAUGCAGCGCUUUGUGUGUCGUGUAUUCUCUAGAGACUAGCGCAUCAGUUGUUGUUAGCGCCUUCAGCAGCUUCCACAGUGCUCCAAUUCAUCAGGAUGGUUGUGCUGAAGAGUUUGCAUCCACCCAGCGAGGGCGUGAGGCUCCAGCAGGCCGACACCACAGCAGUUGUGGACAGGAAGAGACUGGGAUCAGGAACGCUGUUUGUGGCUGAGGCGCAUCUGUCCUGGUUUGAUGGUUCAGGGAUGGGUUUCUGUCUUGAAUAUCCCUCCAUCAGUCUCCAUGCAGUCUCACGAGAUCUCAGCGCCUUUCCAGAAGAGCACCUGUAUGUGAUGGUCAAUGCAAAGCUGGACGAUGAAGCUGAAGCUGAGCAGCUGGAUAAAGCUUCGGAUGAUGAGGAGAGCGACAGUGACGAUGAAGACUUGGGAACUAUCACAGAGAUCCGCUUCGUGCCCAGUGAUAAAACCAGAUUGGAGCCCUUGUUCUCCAGCAUGUGUGACUGUCAGGCCCUGCACCCCGACCCCGAUGACGUCCACACCGACGAUUACGAGGGAGAGGAGUACGACGUCGAGGAGGCUGAGCAAGAGCAGGGUCAGGUUCAGGGUGACGUCCCUGUGUUUUACAGCUAUGAGGAGGGUUUGUCUCAGCUGACGUCCGAGGGUCAGGCCACACUGGAGCGUCUGGAAGGGAUGCUGGCGCAGUACCACAUGGCUGGAGUCAGAAACGACCAGCCAUCGGCUCAAUUUGAAGGAUUUCCUGAGCACUAAUGGAUCUGGAGCGGGUUAAGCUCAGGGGAGCAGCUCAGGGGAGGACAGUCGUAAUUUAAUACGGUGAAUAAACCUGUUUUUUUUGUCUGUGUUCAGAAGGAAUGGAAGUCGACUCAAACACAGUCGCUGGACAGUCUGAUGACGCUGAUGAACAGCGUUUCUGUACGGCUGAUUGAAGCACUUCAGUGGGGCAUGCUGGGAUACCGGCUGACUCUCAAAGCGAUUACUGCAUUUCUGUCUCUCCUUGCUUGUGGCUGUAUAUUUCUCUGAGCCUCGGCCAUGUGUAGCUUCCACUCAUGUAUUUUGUAGUUUUCCCUGAAGCUCCAGAAUUUUCAUCCUCAUUGGAGUUAUGUUGAAAAGUUUGUUCAAGAUUUCAAUAAAUACAGCUGUUUUUGUACCAAAGCCUCGUUUUUUUCUUCCAUAUUUGGUGUUUUCUCUCUCUCUCUCUCUCUCUCUUUGAAAUAAUCCUCAAUCAUGCAGUUCUUUUUAGAAUUUGUUGUAAUGUGUUGAAGUGUGCUACAAAUACUCAUGUAGCUCAUUUUGGGUCGUUCUCAGUUUGUAUUUAGUCAGAUGUUUAUGAGACAUCCUCGUCUCAUCAUUUCCUGUGUAUUUCCCCACAGUAGAUCAAAUAUUUCCAUCAGCAGUCCUUCGCGUGAGUCACAAAAUCUCUCAAGAAAUGUCUGGGUCACCUGAAAAUUACAGA
This is an RNA transcript of Carassius auratus (goldfish), 1491 nucleotides long. It is a transcript of the gene named methylosome subunit pICln-like, with no coding region annotated. The transcript has 7 exons. NCBI's taxonomy places the organism in Eukaryota, Metazoa, Chordata, Actinopteri, Cypriniformes, Cyprinidae. The record is from RefSeq and is a predicted model, not a curated record.